Molecule: long non-coding RNA, 1100 nt
Organism: Numida meleagris (helmeted guineafowl)
Lineage: Eukaryota; Metazoa; Chordata; Aves; Galliformes; Numididae
Source: Ensembl
AAAACCCACAAAACGCCCCAAAUUACCCCAAAAGAUCCAGCUGUGGUGAUUGAGACCCCAUAUCCUGAUGUUAAAGGACCUCAGAGCAGAGAUCAGAGUGUGGAGGUGGAAAACGAUACAGAUGUUGAGGAUGAAGAGCUGAAUCCAGAUGUUCCCCACCCGAAAACCCACAAAACGCCCCAAACUGCCCCAAAAGAUCCAGCUGUGGUCACAGAGACCCCCCAUCCUGACCUUAAAGGGCCUCAGAGCAGAGAUCGGAGCAUGGAGGUCGACAGCGACACCGACGUUGAGGGAGAAGAGCUGAGUCCAGAUGUUCCCCACCCGAAAAGCCACGAAACGCCCCAAAUUCCCCCGCGGGAUCCAGCUGUGGAGACGGAGACCCCAGAUCCAGAUGUUGCCGGCCUCGGUGGUGGCAGAGCUUCCAAUGCAGUCGAGCUCGGUGGUCUGGAAGCCCCCAACCCCCCCGAGCCGACGCUGGGUGUCAGGGAUUUGGACGCCGAGGGUGCUGCUGCUCCAGAUGUUGCUCCAGGUGUUGCUCCAGAUGUUGCUCCAGAUGUGUCCCCUCCCCUGAGCCCUCGGGGCGGCGGUGACACCGAUGCGGAGGAGGUGGCCCCCACUCCCCAAAUUCGGAGCCUCCGGAGCCGGAUCCGACCCCGAAAUCCAGAUGUUGGGAACACCGCGACGGGCGGCGGUACCCACGUGGGGCAGACGGAGCCAAAAGCGGGACGCAGCAACGCAGCGGGGAGACCUCGAAGAACGGGGACGGGGAUCCAGCUGUGGCUGCGGCCCCAAAACCUCCGGAUCCGGCCCCAAAUUUGGGCCUGGCUGCUUGGGGACAGCAUCGCCCCGACGGGGACACGGAUGUGGCGGAGAGUGACCCCGAGGCUGAGGGUGAGUGGGGUGGCCCUUCUUGUCACUUUGGUUCUCUCCUUGUCACCCGGGUCCCCUCCCUGGUGAUCGCCUGGGUCCCCUUCCAGGCACCGUCAUCCCCAUCCCUGCUCCCAUGGGUCCGCUCCCUGGUCACCUGGGGCCUUUCUUUGUCACCUGGAUCCCUGCCCUGGUCACCUGGGGCCUUUCUUUGUCACCUGGAUCCCUGCCCU